UACGGGAGGCAGCAGUCGGGAAUUUUGGGCAAUGGGCGCAAGCCUGACCCAGCAACGCCGCGUGAAGGAUGAAGUCUUUCGGGAUGUAAACUUCGUAAGAAUGGGAAGAAUCAAUGACGGUACCAUUUGUAAGGUCCGGCUAACUACGUGCCAGCAGCCGCGGUAAUACGUAGGGACCAAGCGUUGUUCGGAUUUACUGGGCGUAAAGGGCGCGUAGGCGGCAGAUUAAGUCAGUUGUGAAAUCUCCGAGCUUAACUCGGAACGGUCAACUGAUACUGAUGUGCUAGAGUGCAGAAGGGGCAAUCGGAAUUCUUGGUGUAGCGGUGAAAUGCGUAGAUAUCAAGAGGAACACCUGAGGCGAAGGCGGGUUGCUGGGCUGACACUGACGCUGAGUGCGCGAAAGCUAGGGUAGCAAACGGGAUUAGAUACCCCGGUAGUCCUAGCCCUAAACGAUGAAUGUUUGGUGUCUGGAGUUUUCAUUCUCCGGGUGCCGUCGCUAACGC
This 503-nucleotide ribosomal RNA is filed under the name uncultured Acidobacteriota bacterium. RNAcentral describes it as "bacterial SSU rRNA". It matches the Rfam family "Bacterial small subunit ribosomal RNA", at positions 340 to 858 of the family's 1533-position model. Lineage: Bacteria; Pseudomonadati; Acidobacteriota. The record is from RNAcentral.